AACUGCUUUCCUGUCAUGGGGAAGGACAUUUGAUGAUAAAGAAGGCUAUAGCUUAUACUUCCUACUUUCCGCAGCUCGCUUCCUCCCAAACAGAUUUCAAGUUUCCUUCCCCUUCUUUACCCUUCCCAAACAGUGCGUAGUUACCGUCUUCGAUUCCGCGAUCAAGAUCCAUGGGGACGGCCGGAAACAGCAGCGUCAACGCCAAGCUGGUCUUGCUGGGCGAUAUGGGCGCUGGGAAGUCCAGCCUCGUCAUCCGGUUCGUGAGGGGGCAGUUUAUCGAGUUCCAGGAGUCCACGAUCGGCGCGGCAUUCUUUGCACAGACGUUGACGGUGGGCGACACCGCCGUGAAGUUUGAGAUUUGGGACACCGCGGGGCAAGAGAGGUAUCACAGCUUGGCCCCCAUGUAUUACCGAGGCGCAGCCGCGGCAAUCAUCGUUUAUGACAUGACCAGCACGGAAUCAUUUGAAAAGGCAAAAAACUGGGUACAAGAAUUGCGAAAACAAGGUAAUCCAAAUAUGGUGACAGCCCUUGCUGGAAAUAAAUGUGAUCUGGAGGACAAAAGGAAGGUGCAAACUGAGGAAGCAAAUACAUAUGCAGAGGAGAAUGGUCUUUUCUUCAUGGAAACCUCUGCCAGAACAGCCAUCAAUGUGAAUGAUAUAUUUUAUGAGAUAGAUCAACAAGUGAGUUAUUAGUGAUCAUGCUGGAAAUAGUUCUAUAUUGCCUUAAAUAGCUGCUGAAGUUGACAAAAAAAGAAGAAGAAGAGAAGUUCUUUCAAAUUCUGUUUGUUGCAUUCUCUUGAAGAGAUAGGCUUGUUCUGAUUCUGUACCACAUUCAUAUCCAGACAUAUCAAAACGGUUACCACAAACCCAACCAGCUCAACAACCAGCUGGAGUGGUUCUUACAAAUACAUCAGCUGAAAGAUCACAAGCUUCAUCAUGCUGUUCUUAGGUGGCAUGCAAUUAACUCGUGGACAGUCGACUGAGGAAAUCAAGAAGAAAAAAAAAAUUGUGUAAUGUUCAAAACCUUGUGACUUGUUGCCAUCCUUUAGAAGCGAAAUCCACUCAACUUUCUUGCUUUCA
Zingiber officinale is the source of this 1079-nucleotide RNA transcript. It is a transcript of the gene named ras-related protein RHN1-like, with no coding region annotated. NCBI's taxonomy places the organism in Eukaryota, Viridiplantae, Streptophyta, Magnoliopsida, Zingiberales, Zingiberaceae. The record is from RefSeq and is a predicted model, not a curated record. The transcript is spliced from 9 exons.